RNAcentral lists this microRNA (22 nucleotides) under Homo sapiens (human). RNAcentral describes it as "hsa-miR-3907". Lineage: Eukaryota; Metazoa; Chordata; Mammalia; Primates; Hominidae. The record is from miRBase by way of RNAcentral.
AGGUGCUCCAGGCUGGCUCACA